GACGAACGCUGGCGGCGUGCUUAACACAUGCAAGUCGAACGCUGAACCCGCUUCGGUGGGGGAUGAGUGGCGAACGGGUGAGUAACACGUGGGCAACCUGCCCCCGGCUCUGGGAUAACUCCAAGAAAUUGGGGCUAAUACCGGAUGUGACCGCUGGCCGCAUGGUCUGGUGGUGGAAAGGGUUUCCGGCUGGGGAUGGGCCCGCGGCCUAUCAGCUUGUUGGUGGGGUAGUGGCCUACCAAGGCGACGACGGGGAGCCGGCAUGAGAGGGUGACCGGCCACACUGGGACUGAGACACGGCCCAGACUCCUACGGGAGGCAGCAGUGGGGAAUAUUGCGCAAUGGGCGGAAGCCUGACGCAGCGACGCCGCGUGGGGGAUGACGGCCUUCGGGUUGUAAACCUCUUUCAGCAGGGACGAAGCGCAAGUGACGGUACCUGCAGAAGAAGCACCGGCCAACUACGUG
Molecule: ribosomal RNA, 465 nt
Filed under: uncultured bacterium
Lineage: Bacteria
Description: partial 16S ribosomal RNA
Rfam family: Bacterial small subunit ribosomal RNA
Source: RNAcentral